UGGCAGCAGUGGGGAAUAUUGCGCAAUGGGCGAAAGCCUGACGCAGCGACGCCGCGUGGGUGAGGAAGGCCUUCGGGUUGUAAAACCCUGUCAGGGGGGACGAAGCGAAAGUGACGGUACCCCCAGAGGAAGCCCCGGCCAACUACGUGCCAGCAGCCGCGGUAAUACGUAGGGGGCAAGCGUUGUCCGGAAUCAUUGGGCGUAAAGAGCACGUAGGCGGCCUGUCAAGUCAGGUGUGAAAACCCGCGGCUCAACUGCGGGACUGCACUUGAAACUGGUAGGCUGGAGUCCGGUAGAGGAAAGUGGAAUUCCCAGUGUAGCGGUGAAAUGCGCAGAUAUUGGGAAGAACACCGGUGGCGAAGGCGGCUUUCUGGGCCGAGACUGACGCUGAGGUGCGAAAGCUAGGGGAGCGAACAGGAUUAGAUACCCCUGUAGUC
This 437-nucleotide ribosomal RNA is filed under the name uncultured Acidobacteriota bacterium. Its description in RNAcentral is "bacterial SSU rRNA". It matches the Rfam family "Bacterial small subunit ribosomal RNA", at positions 346 to 795 of the family's 1533-position model. The record is from RNAcentral. Lineage: Bacteria; Pseudomonadati; Acidobacteriota.